RNAcentral lists this ribosomal RNA (198 nucleotides) under uncultured bacterium. Its description in RNAcentral is "partial 16S ribosomal RNA". It matches the Rfam family "Bacterial small subunit ribosomal RNA", at positions 328 to 539 of the family's 1533-position model. The record is from RNAcentral.
ACGCUCGACACCUACGCGAGGCAGCAGUGGGGAAUAUUGCACAAUGGGGGAAACCCUGAUGCAGCGACGCCGCGUGGAGGAAGAAGGUCUUCGGAUUGUAAACUCCUGUUGUUGGGGAAAAAGAGGAUGGUACCCAACAAGGAAGUGACGGCUAACUACGUGCCAGUAGCCGCGGUAAUCUGAGCGGGCUGGCAAGGC